RNAcentral lists this ribosomal RNA (497 nucleotides) under uncultured bacterium. RNAcentral's name for it is "partial 16S ribosomal RNA". It matches the Rfam family "Bacterial small subunit ribosomal RNA", at positions 28 to 507 of the family's 1533-position model. The record is from RNAcentral.
GAUGAACGCUGGCGGCGUGCCUAAUACAUGCCAGUCGAGCGAACAGACGAGGAGCUUGCUCCUCUGACGUUAUCGGCGGACGGGUGAGUACCACGUGGAUAACCUCCCUAUAAGACUGGGCUAACUUCGGGAAACCAGAGCUAAUACCGGAUAAUAUAUUGAACCGCAUGGUUCAAUAGUGCAAGACGAUUUUGCUGACACUUCUAGAUGGAUCCGCGCCGCAUUAUCUAGUUGGUAAGGUGACGGCUUACCAAGGCAACGAUGGGUAGCCGACAUGAGAGGGAGAUCGGCCAAACUGGAACUGAGACUCGGUCCAGACUCCUAAGGGAGGCAGCAGUAGGGAAUCUUCCGGAAGGGGCGAAAGCCUGACGGAGCAACGCCGCGGGAGUGAUGAUGGUCUGCGGAUGGUAAAACGCUGUAAUUAGGGAAGAAGAAAUGUGUAAGUAACUAUGAACAUAUUGACGGUACCUAAUCAGAAAGCCACGGCUAACUACGUG